GCGGGUUAUUAUCGCGGGUGUAACAAUUCACGAUUUUCAUUGAAUAAGGUAUACAUGCGAAAUAUUUUGGAAGUUAUUAUUUUGGCGGAUUCAUAACUUUUAUCAUACCUUUGCAUGAUCACUUGAGGAAUUUAAUUUGGAGAUUUUAUUCUAUCCACGAAAAUUUACACCCCGCAAAAACAAACCGGUAUACGGUAUAUGAAGCGAU
RNAcentral lists this long non-coding RNA (208 nucleotides) under Mytilus galloprovincialis (Mediterranean mussel). Lineage: Eukaryota; Metazoa; Mollusca; Bivalvia; Mytilida; Mytilidae. The record is from RNAcentral.